GCAAAACCGGGGGGAGGGGAGACGGGAGUACGUAGAAGCACAGGGUGAUCUGGAAUAAUUGGGGUCAAAGGGUCCGUAAGAGGCCUUAUAAGUCAGUGGUGAAAUCUCCGAGCUAAACUAGGAAAAUGCCAUUGAUACUGUAGGGCGUGAAUUAUUGUGAAGUAACUAGAAUAUGUAGUGUAGCGGUGAAAUGCUUAGAUAUUACAUGGAAUACCAAUUGCGAAUGCAGGUUACUAACAAUAUAUUGACGCUGAUGGACGAAAGCGGGGGGAGCGAACAGGAGUAGAUACCCCAGUAGUC
Molecule: ribosomal RNA, 300 nt
Filed under: uncultured Enterococcus sp.
Lineage: Bacteria; Bacillati; Bacillota; Bacilli; Lactobacillales; Enterococcaceae
Description: bacterial SSU rRNA
Rfam family: Bacterial small subunit ribosomal RNA (bases 52-300)
Source: RNAcentral